This is a non-coding RNA of Haemonchus contortus (barber pole worm), 75 nucleotides long. The record is from Rfam. Lineage: Eukaryota; Metazoa; Nematoda; Chromadorea; Rhabditida; Trichostrongylidae.
GGCACAAACUCGAAGUAGUGUAGUUUAGUAGGGUCACGUGAUCCUGCUAAUCCACUCUAUUUCCAAUUUGGGCCC